CAAAUGAGAAACAGUCGGAUGCACUCACACUAAUGACUGUCUGUCUUCAUCUGUUCUAGAUUCAGUUCUGUCUUUAAGUCUUGUAGCGGGAAUAUGUACUGGUGUUGGUGUUGUUCUGCUGCUGGUUGCAGCUGUUCUUGGUGUGAUUUACUAUCGUUACAGGAGCUCUAAAAUGGAAGACAUUGAGAAAAACAAGUUUGAGCAGCUGUUGAAUGUCCCAGUAUGAGAAGGACAAAGGCCACGUAACCUGAGAGGAUAUCAACAGGAUCGGUCAAAAAAAGAAAUCUGGAUAAUGGAUCCCCUUAGAUGUUUGAAAUGGGGGGUGCACAAAUGCCAUGUCUUUGUUUGAUCUGAGUUGAUCUGAAUCCAAUAGCAACAUUUUGAGUUUUAAUAAGAUCUGACACCAGUGCUGUUCUUUUCCUCGAUCACUGAUGUGAAGUGAUGAUCACUAUUUAAUGUUUUAAACUCAAUCUACGAAUUAUACUACUUCAUUAUAAAGAAAAACAAUAAUCAUCAUAAUCCAAAAAAUACAGUAUAUACACUGACUAUACUAUAUUUACUACACUGAAAAAAUUGUCAACUUUUCUUCAACUUUUUGAACACUAAAG
This 608-nucleotide long non-coding RNA is filed under the name Sinocyclocheilus anshuiensis. Its description in RNAcentral is "lncRNA (ENSSANG00000012890.1)". The record is from RNAcentral. Lineage: Eukaryota; Metazoa; Chordata; Actinopteri; Cypriniformes; Cyprinidae.